RNAcentral lists this transfer RNA (66 nucleotides) under Penelope pileata. RNAcentral describes it as "tRNA-Cys". Lineage: Eukaryota; Metazoa; Chordata; Aves; Galliformes; Cracidae. The record is from RNAcentral.
GGCCCUGUGGUGAAAUUCAUAUUGAGUUGCAAGCUCAAUGAUGUACAUUAAGGUGUGCCGGGGUCU